RNAcentral lists this ribosomal RNA (696 nucleotides) under uncultured bacterium. RNAcentral describes it as "bacterial SSU rRNA". It matches the Rfam family "Bacterial small subunit ribosomal RNA", at positions 32 to 715 of the family's 1533-position model. The record is from RNAcentral.
AACGCUAGCUACAGGCUUAACACAUGCAAGUCGAGGGGAAACGAUAUUGGAAGCUUGCUUCCGAUAGGCGUCGACCGGCGCACGGGUGAGUAACGCGUAUCCAACCUGCCCAUCACUUGGGGAUAACCUUGCGAAAGUAAGACUAAUACCCAAUGACGUCUCUAGAAGACAUCUGAAGGAGAUUAAAGAUUUAUCGGUGAUGGAUGGGGAUGCGUCUGAUUAGCUUGUUGGCGGGGUAACGGCCCACCAAGGCGACGAUCAGUAGGGGUUCUGAGAGGAAGGUCCCCCACAUUGGAACUGAGACACGGUCCAAACUCCUACGGGAGGCAGCAGUGAGGAAUAUUGGUCAAUGGGCGAGAGCCUGAACCAGCCAAGUAGCGUGUAGGAUGACGGCCCUAUGGGUUGUAAACUGCUUUUAUAAGGGAAUAAAGUGAGUCUCGUGAGACUUUUUGCAUGUACCUUAUGAAUAAGGACCGGCUAAUUCCGUGCCAGCAGCCGCGGUAAUACGGAAGGUCCGGGCGUUAUCCGGAUUUAUUGGGUUUAAAGGGAGCGUAGGCCGGAGAUUAAGCGUGUUGUGAAAUGUAGACGCUCAACGUCUGCACUGCAGCGCGAACUGGUUUCCUUGAGUACGCACAAAGUGGGCGGAAUUCGUGGUGUAGCGGUGAAAUGCUUAGAUAUCACGAAGAACUCCGAUUG